RNAcentral lists this ribosomal RNA (973 nucleotides) under Eriopezia caesia. RNAcentral's name for it is "SSU rRNA". The stretch from base 301 to 973 matches the Rfam family "Bacterial small subunit ribosomal RNA", at positions 1 to 1125 of the family's 1533-position model. The record is from RNAcentral. Lineage: Eukaryota; Fungi; Ascomycota; Leotiomycetes; Helotiales; Arachnopezizaceae.
GUACUGGUUGUUUAAUAUGAAGCUUAGAAAGUUUCUUUCUAAGUAUUCUUUUAUUCAAAUAGACUUAGAUGUGAGAGGUCUAUAAUUUUUUGUAUUAACUAAAUUUUUUUUAACUUAUGUUUAAGUGGUUAGCUUUAUCGUAAUUAUAUUAGAAUCUUUAUUUCUUAUAUAGUUAUGGUUAAGUUAGGUUAAAAUAUAAAUAUUUAAGGAUCCCUAUAAAGGUUAGAUAAAUAUUUAUAAUUAAAAAGAUACCCCCUUUUAAAAUAAUCCUUUAAAUAGGGGCAACAGUAAUGUUAUUAGUCUAUAAAUUUAUUGCUCAAUAAAAUGGGUGAACAGUAUAGGGUUGAUUUUGUCGAUUAAAAUUCUAGAUAGUUAUAAUGAUAAUGACACAUAACUAUUUAUAUGUCUUGACCAAAAUACGUGCCAGCAGUCGCGGCAAGACGUAAAAGACUAGUGUUAUUCAUCUUUAAUAGGUUUAAAGGGUACCUAGACGGUUUAUUUAGUCUUUAACAGGAUACGAAUAAUCUAGAGUUAUAUAUGAGGAGGUGAGUAUUUAUGGAGUAGAGUUGAAAUUCGUUGAUACCAUAACGACUGGUAAAGGCGAAGGCAACCUUUUAUGUAAUAACUGACGUUGAGGGACGAAGGCUUGGGUAGCAAAAAGGAUUAGAUACCCUCGUAGUCCAGGCAGAAAAUGAUGAAUGUCAUAGAUUAGAUUUUUAUUUGGUCUAUAAAUUAAAAUGUAAGCAUUCCACCUCAAGAGUAAUGUGGCAACGCAGGAACUGAAAUCAUUAGACCGUGUCUGAAAUCAGUAGUGAAGUAUGUUGUUUAAUUCGUAGUCACGCGAAAACCUUACCACAACUUGCAUAUUAUCAACUAUGAUAUUACAAGUGUUGCAUGGCUGUCUGCAGUUGAUGUCGUGAGAUUAGGGUAGCCCCUAGAUUUAACGGAAGACCUAUGCUUUAGUUGAUUCACA